AUGGGGAUGCGUUCCAUUAGUUUGUUGGCGGGGUAACGGCCCACCAAGACUACGAUGGAUAGGGGUUCUGAGAGGAAGGUCCCCCACAUUGGAACUGAGACACGGUCCAAACUCCUACGGGAGGCAGCAGUGAGGAAUAUUGGUCAAUGGGCGAGAGCCUGAACCAGCCAAGUAGCGUGAAGGAUGAAGGCUCUAUGGGUCGUAAACUUCUUUUAUAUGGGAAUAAAGUUUUCCACGUGUGGAAUUUUGUAUGUACCAUAUGAAUAAGGAUCGGCUAACUCCGUGCCAGCAGCCGCGGUAAUACGGAGGAUCCGAGCGUUAUCCGGAUUUAUUGGGUUUAAAGGGAGCGUAGGUGGAUUGUUAAGUCAGUUGUGAAAGUUUGCGGCUCAACCGUAAAAUUGCAGUUGAAACUGGCAGUCUUGAGUACAGUAGAGGUGGGCGGAAUUCGUGGUGUAGCGGUGAAAUGCUUAGAUAUCACGAAGAACUCCGAUUGCGAAGGCAGCUCACUAGACUGUCACUGACACUGAUGCUCGAAAGUGUGGGUAUCAAACAGGAUUAGAUACCCUGGUAGUCCACACAGUAAACGAUGAAUACUCGCUGUUUGCGAUAUACAGUAAGCGGCCAAGCGAAAGCAUUAAGUAUUCCACCUGGGGAGUACGCCGGCAACGGUGAAACUCAAAGGAAUUGACGGGGGCCCGCACAAGCGGAGGAACAUGUGGUUUAAUUCGAUGAUACGCGAGGAACCUUACCCGGGCUUAAAUUGCAACAGAAUAUAUUGGAAACAGUAUAGCCGUAAGGCUGUUGUGAAGGUGCUGCAUGGUUGUCGUCAGCUCGUGCCGUGAGGUGUCGGCUUAAGUGCCAUAACGAGCGCAACCCUUAUCUUUAGUUACUAACAGGUUAUGCUGAGGACUCUAGAGAGACUGCCGUCGUAAGAUGUGAGGAAGGUGGGGAUGACGUCAAAUCAGCACGGCCCUUACGUCCGGGGCUACACACGUGUUACAAUGGGGGGUACAGAAGGCGGCUACCUGGUGACAGGAUGCUAAUCCCAAAAACCUCUCUCAGUUCGGAUCGAAGUCUGCAACCCGACUUCGUGAAGCUGGAUUCGCUAGUAAUCGCGCAUCAGCCAUGGCGCGGUGAAUACGUUCCCGGGCCUUGUACACACCGCCCGUCAAGCCAUGAAAGCCGGGGGUACCUGAAGUACGUAACCGCAAGGAGCGUCCUAGGGUAAAACUGGUAAUUGGGGCUAAGUCGUAACAAGGUAGCCGUACCGGAAGGUGCGGCUG
Molecule: ribosomal RNA, 1283 nt
Filed under: human gut metagenome
Description: bacterial SSU rRNA
Rfam family: Bacterial small subunit ribosomal RNA
Source: RNAcentral